RNAcentral lists this ribosomal RNA (599 nucleotides) under Streptomyces sp. PKU-EA00015. RNAcentral describes it as "partial 23S ribosomal RNA". It matches the Rfam family "Bacterial large subunit ribosomal RNA", at positions 589 to 1186 of the family's 2925-position model. The record is from RNAcentral. Lineage: Bacteria; Bacillati; Actinomycetota; Actinomycetes; Kitasatosporales; Streptomycetaceae.
UCUCGUGACUGCGUGCCUUUUGAAGAAUGAGCCUGCGAGUUUGCGGUGUGUUGCGAGGUUAACCCGUGUGGGGAAGCCGUAGCGAAAGCGAGUCCGAACAGGGCGAUUCAGUAGCGCGCUCAAGACCCGAAGCGGAGUGAUCUAGCCAUGGGCAGGUUGAAGCGGAGGUAAGACUUCGUGGAGGACCGAACCCACCAGGGUUGAAAACCUGGGGGAUGACCUGUGGUUAGGGGUGAAAGGCCAAUCAAACUCCGUGAUAGCUGGUUCUCCCCGAAAUGCAUUUAGGUGCAGCGUCGUGUGUUUCUUGCCGGAGGUAGAGCACUGGAUAGGCGAUGGGCCCUACCGGGUUACUGACCUUAGCCAAACUCCGAAUGCCGGUAAGUGAGAGCGCGGCAGUGAGACUGUGGGGGAUAAGCUCCAUGGUCGAGAGGGAAACAGCCCAGAGCAUCGACUAAGGCCCCUAAGCGUACGCUAAGUGGGAAAGGAUGUGGAGUCGCAGAGACAACCAGGAGGUUGGCUUAGAAGCAGCCACCCUUGAAAGAGUGCGUAAUAGCUCACUGGUCAAGUGAUUCCGCGCCGACAAUGUAGCGGGGCUCAAG